RNAcentral lists this ribosomal RNA (427 nucleotides) under uncultured bacterium. RNAcentral describes it as "partial 16S ribosomal RNA". It matches the Rfam family "Bacterial small subunit ribosomal RNA", at positions 355 to 774 of the family's 1533-position model. The record is from RNAcentral.
UGGGGAAUAUUGCACAAUGGGCGCAAGCCUGAUGCAGCCAUGCCGCGUGUAUGAAGAAGGCCUUCGGGUUGUAAAGUACUUUCAGCGGGGAGGAAGGCGAUAAGGUUAAUAACCUUGUCGAUUGACGUUACCCGCAGAAGAAGCACCGGCUAGCUCCGUGCCAGCAGCCGCGGUAAUACGGAGGGUGCAAGCGUUAAUCGGAAUUACUGGGCGUAAAGCGCACGCAGGCGGUCUGUCAAGUCGGAUGUGAAAUCCCCGGGCUCAACCUGGGAACUGCAUUCGAAACUGGCAGGCUAGAGUCUUGUAGAGGGGGGUAGAAUUCCAGGUGUAGCGGUGAAAUGCGUAGAGAUCUGGAGGAAUACCGGUGGCGAAGGCGGCCCCCUGGACAAAGACUGACGCUCAGGUGCGAAAGCGUGGGGAGCAAACA